RNAcentral lists this small RNA (538 nucleotides) under Histoplasma ohiense. RNAcentral describes it as "hypothetical lncRNA". The record is from RNAcentral. Lineage: Eukaryota; Fungi; Ascomycota; Eurotiomycetes; Onygenales; Ajellomycetaceae.
CUGGCAGUUGUUUUCUGGUCGAUCUCUACAGGUCCUUCGGCCGCUGGGUAUCCAUGCAUUGCACAUGAAAAUUACUUUUUCAUGUAGAACAUGCUUGUUCUAUGAGAGCAGGACCUUAUGUAUCCGUUUGAUUUCCAGCAGCGGCCGUGGAGUUAUUCCGCAUGUACAUGUACGGUGCCAUGAAGCCGUGUUUUUCUGUCUUCAAGCAUUAAGUAACGGCUUAAAUUAACUAUCUAGGUAAUUAGCUAUUCGAAGUAUCAUCCUCUUAAUUGAAAUGGGAGUCCAUCAUGGGGAAGGACAGUAUGUUGUUUAGAUAUGUCUCCUCUCCGCCCACUCAUCAACUACCUCCCAGGGUUGAGAUCAGAAUCCUCGGGGCCACAAGAUCUCUACAGUGGAUAUGGAAUAAUAAUGCCUUCCUCCUUUACCGACUAGCCAAGGGCGCGUCUUGUAUCAUCUCCUUUGCAUCAAGAUGCAUAAGACUAGAUAAAAAUAGCAAGUACAAUGGUCUCGAAGCUUGUGUGGAUGAAAUUUGUUCAAC